This 481-nucleotide ribosomal RNA is filed under the name uncultured bacterium. Its description in RNAcentral is "partial 16S ribosomal RNA". It matches the Rfam family "Bacterial small subunit ribosomal RNA", at positions 30 to 507 of the family's 1533-position model. The record is from RNAcentral.
UUGAACGCUGGCGGCAUGCUUUACACAUGCAAGUCGAACGGUAACAGGCCGCAAGGUGCUGACGAGUGGCGAACGGGUGAGUAAUGCAUCGGAACGUGCCCAGUCGUGGGGGAUAACUACUCGAAAGAGUAGCUAAUACCGCAUACGAUCUAUGGAUGAAAGCGGGGGACCGUAAGGCCUCGCGCGAUUGGAGCGGCCGAUGUCAGAUUAGGUAGUUGGUGGGGUAAAGGCUCACCAAGCCAACGAUCUGUAGCUGGUCUGGGAGGACGACCAGCCACACUGGGACUGAGACACGGCCCAGACUCCUACGGGAGGCAGCAGUGGGGAAUUUUGGACAAUGGGCGCAAGCCUGAUCCAGCAAUGCCGCGUGCAGGAAGAAGGCCUUCGGGUUGUAAACUGCUUUUGUACGGAACGAAACGGCUCGGGUUAAUACCCGGGGCUAAUGACGGUACCGUAAGAAUAAGCACCGGCUAACUACGUG